UACAGAGGGUGCGAGCGUUGUUCGGAAUUAUUGGGCGUAAAGCGCAUGUAGGCGGUCUGUUAAGUCGCGUGUGAAAUCCCCAGGCUCAACCUGGGAAGUGCGCGCGAAACUGGCGGACUUGAGUGCCGGAGAGGGUGGCGGAAUUCCCGGUGUAGAGGUGAAAUUCGUAGAUAUCGGGAGGAACACCAGAGGCGAAGGCGGCCACCUGGACGAACACUGACGCUGAGACGCGAAAGCGUGGGGAGCAAACAGG
RNAcentral lists this ribosomal RNA (253 nucleotides) under uncultured bacterium. RNAcentral describes it as "partial 16S ribosomal RNA". It matches the Rfam family "Bacterial small subunit ribosomal RNA", at positions 524 to 776 of the family's 1533-position model. The record is from RNAcentral.